GAAGCGUCUGGAAAGGCGCGCGAUACAGGGUGACAGCCCCGUACACAAAAAUGCACAUAUUGUGAGCUCGAUGAGUAGGGCGGGACACGUGGUAUCCUGUCUGAAUAUGGGGGGACCAUCCUCCAAGGCUAAAUACUCCUGACUGACCGAUAGUGAACCAGUACCGUGAGGGAAAGGCGAAAAGAACCCCGGCGAGGGGAGUGAAAAAGAACCUGAAACCGUGUACGUACAAGCAGUGGGAGCCUCUUAAUGGGGUGACUGCGUACCUUUUGUAUAAUGGGUCAGCGACUUAUAUUCUGUAGCAAGGUUAACCGAAUAGGGGAGCCGAAGGGAAACCGAGUCUUAACUGGGCGUUAAGUUGCAGGGUAUAGACCCGAAACCCGGUGAUCUAGCCAUGGGCAGGUUGAAGGUUGGGUAACACUAACUGGAGGACCGAACCGACUAAUGUUGAAAAAUUAGCGGAUGACUUGUGGCUGGGGGUGAAAGGCCAAUCAAACCGGGAGAUAGCUGGUUCUCCCCGAAAGCUAUUUAGGUAGCGCCUCGUGAAUUCAUCUCCGGGGGUAGAGCACUGUUUCGGCAAGGGGGUCAUCCCGACUUACCAACCCGAUGCAAACUGCGAAUACCGGAGAAUGUUAUCACGGGAGACACACGGCGGGUGCUAACGUCCGUCGUGAAGAGGGAAACAACCCAGACCGCCAGCUAAGGUCCCAAAGUCAUGGUUAAGUGGGAAACGAUGUGGGAAGGCCCAGACAGCCAGGAUGUUGGCUUAGAAGCAGCCAUCAUUUAAAGAAAGCGUAAUAGCUCACUGGUCGAGUCGGCCUGCGCGGAAGAUGUAACGGGGCUAAACCAUG
RNAcentral lists this ribosomal RNA (851 nucleotides) under Escherichia coli. Its description in RNAcentral is "partial 23S ribosomal RNA". It matches the Rfam family "Bacterial large subunit ribosomal RNA", at positions 335 to 1191 of the family's 2925-position model. The record is from RNAcentral. Lineage: Bacteria; Pseudomonadati; Pseudomonadota; Gammaproteobacteria; Enterobacterales; Enterobacteriaceae.